This 253-nucleotide ribosomal RNA is filed under the name uncultured bacterium. Its description in RNAcentral is "partial 16S ribosomal RNA". It matches the Rfam family "Bacterial small subunit ribosomal RNA", at positions 524 to 776 of the family's 1533-position model. The record is from RNAcentral.
UACAGAGGGUGCGAGCGUUAAUCGGAAUUACUGGGCGUAAAGCGUGCGUAGCCGGUUAUUUAAGUCGGGUGUGAAAGCCCCGGGCUCAACCUGGGAAUUGCAUUCGAGACUGAAUAGCUAGGGUACGGUAGAGGGAAGUGGAAUUUCCGGUGUAGCGGUGAAAUGCGUAGAUAUCGGAAGGAACAUCAGUGGCGAAGGCGGCCUUCUGGACGGUGACUGACGCUGAGACGCGAAAGCGUGGGGAGCAAACAGG